RNAcentral lists this ribosomal RNA (253 nucleotides) under uncultured bacterium. Its description in RNAcentral is "partial 16S ribosomal RNA". It matches the Rfam family "Bacterial small subunit ribosomal RNA", at positions 524 to 776 of the family's 1533-position model. The record is from RNAcentral.
UACCGAGGGUGCAAGCGUUGUCCGGAUUUAUUGGGUUUAAAGGGUGCGUAGGCGGCCCGUUAAGUCAGUGGUGAAAGCCUCCAGCUCAACUGGAGAACUGCCAUUGAUACUGACGGGCUUGAGUACAGACGAGGUUGGCGGAAUUGAUUGUGUAGCGGUGAAAUGCAUAGAUACAAUCAAGAACUCCGAUUGCGUAGGCAGCUAACUAGGCUGUAACUGACGCUGAGGCACGAAAGCGUGGGGAGCGAACAGG